Molecule: ribosomal RNA, 433 nt
Filed under: uncultured bacterium
Lineage: Bacteria
Description: partial 16S ribosomal RNA
Rfam family: Bacterial small subunit ribosomal RNA
Source: RNAcentral
AACGAACGCUGGCGGCAUGCCUAACACAUGCAAGUCGAACGAGACCUUCGGGUCUAGCGGCGCACGGGUGCGUAACGCGUGGGAACCUGCCCUUAGGUUCGGAAUAACUCCCCGAAAGGGGUGCUAAUACCGGAUAAUGUCUUCGGACCAAAGAUUUAUCGCCUUUGGAUGGGCCCGCGUUGGAUUAGCUAGUUGGUAGGGUAAAAGCCUACCAAGGCGACGAUCCAUAGCUGGUCUGAGAGGAUGAUCAGCCACACUGGGACUGAGACACGGCCCAGACUCCUACGGGAGGCAGCAGUGGGGAAUAUUGGACAAUGGGCGAAAGCCUGAGCCAGCAAUGCCGCGUGAGUGAUGAAGGCCUUAGGGUUGUAAAGCUCUUUUACCCGGGAUGAUAAUGACAGUACCGGGAGAAUAAGCUCCGGCUAACUCCGUG